Molecule: unclassified non-coding RNA, 384 nt
Filed under: soil metagenome
Description: partial contains 5.8S ribosomal RNA, internal transcribed spacer 2, and large subunit ribosomal RNA
Rfam family: 5.8S ribosomal RNA (bases 1-119)
Source: RNAcentral
AUGAAGAACGUAGCGAAAUGCGAUAAGUAAUGUGAAUUGCAGAAUUCAGUGAAUCAUCGAAUCUUUGAACGCACCUUGCGCUCCUUGGUAUUCCGAGGAGCAUGCCUGUUUGAGUGUCAUUAAAUUCUCAACCUCACCCGUUUUCUGAACGGUUCUCCGAGGCUUGGAUGUGGGGGUUUGUGCAGGCUGCCUCAGCGCGGUCUGCUCCCCUGAAAUGCAUUAGCGAGUUCGUACUGAGCUCCGUCUAUUGGUGUGAUAAUUAUCUACGCCGUGGACAGGGUUUAGACUCGCUUCUAACCGUCCGCAAGGACAAUACCUUUGACAAUUUGACCUCAAAUCAGGUAGGACUACCCGCUGAACUUAAGCAUAUCAAUAAGCGGAGGA